GUGGGGAAUAUUGGGCAAUGGGCGCAAGCCUGACCCAGCAACGCCGCGUGAGGGAAGAAGGCUUUCGGGUUGUAAACCUCUGUCCUUGGUGACGAAGAAAGUGACGGUAGCCAAGGAGGAAGCCCCGGCUAACUACGUGCCAGCAGCCGCGGUAAUACGUAGGGGGCGAGCGUUGUCCGGAAUUACUGGGCGUAAAGGGUGCGUAGGUGGCCUUUUAAGUUGGAUGUGAAAUACCCGGGCUUAACUUGGGGGGUGCAUCUAAUACUGGGAGGCUAGAGUGCAGGAGAGGGAAGCGGAAUUCCUAGUGUAGCGGUGAAAUGCGUAGAUAUUAGGAGGAACACCAGUGGCGAAGGCGGCUUUCUGGACUGUAACUGACACUGAGGCACGAAAGCGUGGGGAGCAAACAGGAUUAGAAACCCGAGUAGUCC
This 428-nucleotide ribosomal RNA is filed under the name uncultured bacterium. RNAcentral's name for it is "partial 16S ribosomal RNA". It matches the Rfam family "Bacterial small subunit ribosomal RNA", at positions 354 to 796 of the family's 1533-position model. The record is from RNAcentral.